UGGUUAAAGGAGUCCGGUGAAACAGCAAAAUCUCUCCUCGUGUGCCAUUUGGCCCGGAAGAGGGGAGGACUAAGGCUGUUUUGCUCUGGACCAAGACGGGAAAUCAAUACUUUAGCGGUAUUUCACGGUAAUGUAGCAUCGUCAAUCGGUUACUGCAUGUAUGGAUGAUGCUCGACCACGGAAUGUAUCG
Molecule: ribosomal RNA, 190 nt
Filed under: Colpoda maupasi
Lineage: Eukaryota; Ciliophora; Colpodea; Colpodida; Colpodidae
Description: partial 23S ribosomal RNA
Source: RNAcentral